RNAcentral lists this ribosomal RNA (490 nucleotides) under uncultured bacterium. RNAcentral's name for it is "partial 16S ribosomal RNA". It matches the Rfam family "Bacterial small subunit ribosomal RNA", at positions 29 to 505 of the family's 1533-position model. The record is from RNAcentral.
AUUGAACGCUGGCGGCAUGCUUUACACAUGCAAGUCGAACGGUAACAGGCCUUCGGGUGCUGACGAGUGGCGAACGGGUGAGUAAUGCAUCGGAACGUGCCCAGAGGUGGGGGAUAACGCAGCGAAAGCUGUGCUAAUACCGCAUGUGAUCUGAGGAUGAAAGCGGGGGACCAGGCAGCAAUGUUUGGCCUCGCGCCUUUGGAGCGGCCGAUGUCAGAUUAGGUAGUUGGUGGGGUAAAGGCCUACCAAGCCGACGAUCUGUAGCUGGUCUGAGAGGACGACCAGCCACACUGGGACUGAGACACGGCCCAGACUCCUACGGGAGGCAGCAGUGGGGAAUUUUGGACAAUGGGCGCAAGCCUGAUCCAGCAAUGCCGCGUGCGGGAAGAAGGCCUUCGGGUUGUAAACCGCUUUUGUACGGAACGAAAAGGCUCUGGCUAAUACCUGGGGCUGAUGACGGUACCGUAAGAAUAAGCACCGGCGAACUACG